GUCUACAUAGUUUACCUAGGCGACGUGAAGCAUGGGCACCCGGACCACGUCGUGGCUUCGCACCAUGACAUGCUCACCACUCUUCUCGGAAGCAAGGAGGAAUCUAUGGCCUCCGUGGUGUACAACUACAAGCACGGCUUCUCAGGCUUCGCCGCCAUGCUUACGCCGGAGCAAGCAGAGCGACUUGCAGAGUUUCCGGAGGUAAUCAGCGUCGAACCAAGCAGAAGGCACAAGGCGAGCACCACGCGGAGCUGGGACUUUCUUGGGCUCAACUACCAGAUGUCUGGCAGUGCGGUUCCCCAUGGAACCAACUACGGAGAGGAUGUGAUCAUCGGAGUGAUUGACAGCGGGAUCUGGCCGGAGUCACGAAGCUUUAGCGACCAAGGGUACCCACCGAUACCGUCAAGGUGGAAAGGGAUGUGCCAACUAGGGCCAGACUGGGACAAGAACAACUGCAGCCGCAAGAUUAUCGGCGCACGGUUCUACAGCGCAGGACUUCCCGACGAGGUCCUCAAGACGGACUCGCUCUCACCUCGUGACUAUGGCGGGCACGGCACGCAUUGUGCAUCCACCGCGGCGGGCUCGGCCGUGCAGGCGGCCAGCUUCAACGGCCUCGCCAAGGGGGUUGCACGGGGAGGCGCACCACACGCUCGCAUAGCGGUCUACAAGACCUUAUGGGGCGCCCAAGGCAUUGGCUAUACGUCGGACUUUCUUGCUGCCAUCGAUGAUGCAAUCCACGAUGGUGUGGACGUGCUAUCGUUGUCCGUCGGAUUCCCGGACGAGAACUCGUUCGGCGCCCUGCAUGCGGUUCAGAAGGGGAUCACCGUGGUGUACGCGGCCGGGAACGACGGACCUAGGCCGCAGACCCUUGAGAACACUUCACCGUGGGUCAUCACCGUGGCAGCGAGCAAGGUUGAUCGGUCAUUUCCGACGGCGAUCACACUAGGAAACAACCAGCAUAUACUGGGUCAGUCCCUCAACUACCACGGCAAUUCUGACGCAGACUUCAUUUUUCUUUCUGUAUGUAGAUGUACCAUAGCAUCUCUUAAUGCCACUGCCAAGGACGUGAAAGGGAAAAUCCUGCUCUGUUCUCCCUUGCCAGAUGAUCCAUUGGCGAUCGCCCCAGGGAUCACUUUCAACAACGCGUUACAAUAUGUCCGGAAUGGCGGGGGAUCUGGACUUAUUUUCGCUCAAUAUACAACAGACCUUUUAGGUGUUUGCCAAGGCAUAGCCUGCGUCAUCGUGGACCUUGACACUGGUAAGAAGAUCAAAAAAUACAUCCUUGGCACAAGCUCUCCCAUGGCAAAGAUCGAACUGGCACGCACCGUUAUCGGGAAAGAGAUAUCCGCACCAAAAGUGGCCUCCUUCUCCUCUAGAGGUCCAUCACCUGAUUACCCCGAAAUUAUCAAGCCUGACAUAGCUGCACCGGGAGCCAACAUCUUGGCAGCAGUGGGAAAUUCCUACGUAUUUAUGUCUGGAACGUCAAUGGCAACCCCACACGUAGCUGGCAUCGUCGCACUGUUGAAAGCUCAGCACCCAGAUUGGUCUCCUGCGGCGAUUAAAUCAGCCAUCAUAACCUCCGCCCAUGUAACCGACGAGCGUGGCAUGCCGAUACUGGCAGAAGGGCUGCCUCGAAAAAUCGCUGACCCAUUCGACUACGGCGGCGGGAACAUCAAUCCUGGCGGCGCGGCCGAUCCCGGUCUGGUCUAUGACAUCGAUCCCCGCGACUACAACAAAUUCUUCGGGUGCACCAUCAUCAGGAGGGCAAACGUGAGUUGUGAUGCGACAACGUUACCGGCAUAUCACCUGAACCUGCCCUCCAUCGCGAUCCCUGAGCUGAGGCAUCCAAUCACCGUGUGGAGGACAGUGACAAACGUCGGCGAGGUCAACUCCGUGUACCACGCAGAAGUCCAAAGCCCAGCUGGAGUCAAGAUGGAGAUUGAGCCGCCGGUGCUCGUGUUCAACGCCAUGAACAAAGUUCAUACGUUUAAGGUGAAAUUCUCGCCUAUGUGGAAGCUGCAAGGGGACUACACCUUCGGCAGCAUUACGUGGCAUAAGGAACAGAAGGCUGUGAGGAUUCCUGUUGCAGCCCGAAUUACAAUUCAGGACUUUUAUGCAGAUGUUGCAUAA
Molecule: ribosomal RNA, 2130 nt
Filed under: Triticum aestivum (bread wheat)
Lineage: Eukaryota; Viridiplantae; Streptophyta; Magnoliopsida; Poales; Poaceae
Description: partial small subunit ribosomal RNA
Source: RNAcentral